RNAcentral lists this unclassified non-coding RNA (877 nucleotides) under Hevea brasiliensis (rubber tree). The record is from RNAcentral. Lineage: Eukaryota; Viridiplantae; Streptophyta; Magnoliopsida; Malpighiales; Euphorbiaceae.
GGAAUAGGUAACGAUUUGUGGUAUUUGUUAGAUCGAGAAAAAAACUGUAAUUAGACUUCUCUGCUAAGUUUCUGCUGUAUUUGGAUUCUCCGGCGAACAUUAAUAUCUAACCAUGACCGGCGGUGGAGGCGAUGCCGCAUCGCCGCCUCUAUCCUCACAGUCAACUCCAUCCAACGGUGGGGAAUUCCUUCUUCAAUUGCUUCAGAAUCAUCCGCAUCAACUUCACUCUCAGCCUCAACCGCCACUGCGGCCGGAGUUGCAGAAUCUGCCGCAUGAUCCAGCAGUUGCAGCAGUAGGUCCUAGUAUGCCCUACCCGCCAUUGUUCCAUACUCCUACAAACCCUUCUGUUUUGCCCUAUUCUCACUCUCCUCCUCUGUUUGUACCUCAUAACUUCUUCAUUCGAGGGUUUCUCCAAAACCCUAAUUCUGGCCAUACCACUAACCCCAAUUACUCAUCUCCGCCUGCCCCAAGUGGGUUCAGUCAAUAUCACCAUGCGAGUCCACUUGGAUUUGGAUCAGUCGGAGAAAACAUGGGCAAUUUGGGGAUUUUCGGUGCCAAUGCUAAGGCGAGUAAUUCAAAUAAUGAGUUUGAUCAUAAUCUGAUUUUUGGAUCUUUACGUAGCCAUAUUCAAGGUAAUGUGAGUAUGAUGAAUGACCGCUUUAGUGAUGAUUUAGCUAGUAAAGUUGGUAACUUUGAACAGAAAAACCAUGAAUCAAGAUUAGCGAAUGUUAGGAUGUUGAAUGGUGUGGAGGGUAAGCUUGAGAAUGUCAUUGGUUCAGGUCGGAAACAGUUGGGCAAUUUAAGAGGUCUUGAGCAACAGAAUAGUGGUGGAGGUGGAGGUGAGAGUGAGAGUGAGAGUGGUGGUUUGGGGUGGGGA